CUACCUGGGGAGGGUGGUUCUCAUUCCACAAAUGAGAGUCUGAGGAAUCUAGUGCCCUGCAUGCCCAAUGCCCAGGCCUCAAGGCCCACGUCUGCAGAGCCCAGGGGAAAGGUGCCUUGAGGACGAAGCUGGGUCCUGGGGAGCCAGCUCCAGUACUGGGGGUGGCUCACUGUUUCCUGUCCAGGAAUGCUCAGGACAACCAGCUUCUUGCAAUCUUCCCAGCUCAGGCUCCCCAGCCUGAGUCACACCAUCACCAUACUGUGGACCCUGGACAAGCCUCCGGACUUUUCUGGGCCUCACCUUCCCCACCUGGGAGUGCAGGUGCUAAUGCCCACCUGUGGGCUGUGUCACACCAUAGGCCAAGAGCUUCUUCAGUGCCUGGCACUCAGUAGGCCUGCAAUAAAUGGAGACAGCUGCUAGGAUGCAGGCGAACCCCCUGGUGCACAGUAGGGUCUCAACCCAAUCCCGCUGACCCCAUAGCAUGGACAAGGCGAGGUUCUCAAAGGCCUCUG
Molecule: long non-coding RNA, 512 nt
Filed under: Homo sapiens (human)
Lineage: Eukaryota; Metazoa; Chordata; Mammalia; Primates; Hominidae
Description: non-protein coding lnc-SMDT1-4:2
Source: RNAcentral